AAUAUUCUACGUAGUAGUUCAUAGAAUUAUCUAAGAUGAUGAUGAAAGGAAUGGGGGCUUGGAUGUUGCUAGCAUUGUUGACUUUGGUUGGCGAAUGGCAUGGUCGUUGUUAUGGAUGUUUGGAGGAAGAGAGGAUUGGUCUCUUGGAGAUCCAAUCUUUGAUCGACCCAAAUCACCUUUCCUUGGGAGAUUGGGUGGACAACAAUAGUAAUUGUUGUGAGUGGGAUGGGAUCGAGUGUGAUAACACUACAAGGCGAGUGAUCCAACUCUCUCUUAGAGAAGCAAGGGAUUUCAGCUUGGGCAAUUGGGUUCUCAACGCAUCUUUGUUUCUGCCUUUCAAAGAAUUGCAAAGUCUUGAUUUGGAAAGUAAUGGAUUGGUUGGUUGCAUGGAGAAUGAAGGUUAGUUCAAUGUUUCUGCACUUAAAUAUAAUCAUAAAAUAAAUGAAGGUUGGUUGGUGUUUAAUGUCAAUUAUCUUGCUUUGAUGAUUCUCUUCCAGGCUUGGAAGUCCUAUCAUCAAAACUGAGGGAACUUGACCUAUGGAAUAACCGAUUUAAUAAUGAUAAAAGCAUUUUGUCAUGUUUCAAUGGUAACCUUUCCACUCUCAAGUCUUUGGAUCUAUCAUUUAAUGAGUUGACAGCUGGAUCAGGUAGCUUCUAUGAUAACCUUUUAAUUAUUUAGCUUCGAAACCUUUUCUUUUCUCCUUCUCAUAUCAUUUUUUUUCCAUGCGUUUAUUUCCUUCCAAUAUGCUUUGAGAAACAUCAUGCAGGUUUCAAAGUCUUGUCAUCAAGGUUGAAAAAGCUGGAGAACCUUCAUCUAAGUGGAAUCAAUGCAACGAUAGCAUUUUUCCAUCUCUAACUGGAUUUUCAUCCCUCAAGUCUUUGGAUCUGUCAAACAAUCAGCUGACAGGAUCUGCUAGUAUCAUUAGUAAGUUAUAUAUAAUUUCUACCUAACUGCUUUACGUGACGUUCUUUUAUAUUUAUUUAAUAAUCAACGAUAGCAUUUCAUCAUGUUUGAUUGCGGUAGCUUUCAUCUUAUCCAUAAAUUGUUUUUCUAUUAAGACAGGAAGAGAUUAAAGUCAUGAGCUAGCUAGAUCAAAACUAGAUGAUUAAAAAUUACAAGUAUAGCAAUGGAUACUUGCAAUCGAUCUAUCUUCUUCCUUAAUCUAUGCACUGUAUAUUUUUUUAUGUAUAUCUUGUGUAGGUUUUCAACUCCAACCGAUGAGGCUGGGAAAGUUAGAGAACCUUGACCUGAGUGGCAAUCGAUUGAACAACAGCAUCUUAUCAAUUCUGAGUGGGCUUUCCACUCUCAAGUCUUUGGAUCUAUCAUUUAAUGAGUUUACAGCUGGAUUAGGAGGUAGCUUCUAUGGUAACCUUUUCAUUAUUUAGCUUCGAAACCUUUUCUUUUCUCCUUCUCAUAUCAUUUCUAUGCUUUUGAGAAACAUCAUGCAGGUUUCAAAGACUUGUCAUCAAGGUUGAAAAAGCUGGAGAACCUUGACAUGGGUUGGAAUCAAUGCAACGAUAGCAUUUUAUCACAUCUGCGUGGGUUUUCAUCUCUCAAGUCUUUAGGUCUUUCACACAAUCAGUUGACAGGAUCUACUAGUAUCAUUAGUAAGUUAUAUAUAAUUUCUACCUAACUGCUUUAUGUGACAUUCUUUUAUACGGUUUCUUAAUCAAGAAAAUUGAGGACUUUAUAUUUAUUUAAUAAUUAAUCAACGAUGGCAUUUCAUCAUGUUUGAUUGCGCUAGCUUUCAUCUAUGAAGAUUUAUAUCUAUGGAGCUUUGAUCUUAUCCAUAAAUUGUUUUUCUAACAAGACAGGAAGAGAUUGAAGUGAGCUAGCUGGAUCAAAACUAGGAUGAUAAAAAAUUACAUGUAUAGAUCAAUGGAUACUUGCAAUCUAUCUUCUUCCUUAAUCUAUGCACAGUAGCAUCUUAUCAUUUCUGAGUGGGCUUUCAUCCCUCAGGUCUUUGGAUCUAUCGUAAAAUAUGUUGACAGGAGCAGGUAGUUUCUACCUAAAUGCUUCACAUGACAUUCUCUUAAUUAUAUUGUUUCUUUAUCAAGAAAAAUAAGGACUUUAUAUCCAUGUAAAGAUCAAUUUUUUCACAACUUGAUUUCUAGGUCCAUAAUCGGCGCAAUGUAGGAGUGGUGUUUAAAUGACACUUUAUAUAUAUGUGAAGCUCCAUGACAAACAUAUUAAAAGAACAAUUAUUUAAAAAUACAAACAUUUAUAAUUUUAAAAAAUAUUAUAUUAUUAAAAUUAAUAAAUCCAAAUGAUUGUUCAAAACUUCUCAUUGAUAAUUAAAACAAGAACAAUAAUGAAUAACACUCAUAUUAUCAUGAAAAAUGAGGACUUUAUAUCUAUGUGAUGAUCAAUUUAAUGAUAGCAUUGUAUCAUGUUUGACCAUCUUUAACAACUUUAUAUCCUUAAAUUGUUUUUUUUUUCCAAUAAGAUCAAAAUUAGAAUGAUUAAAAAUAUUUCUUAAUCUUUGAAGUGUACACAACCUAUUAUUAUUUAAAUGCGUUCGUGAGCUCAUUAUAAUUAAAUAUAGCAUUUUAUCAUUCUUUUAUGUGUAAUUCGAGAAUCAUAUAUCAAUUGAACAACAACAUCUCAUCAAUUCUAAUUAUUUUUAGUUUCUAUCUAUUAUGCAUAUCGUGAUUAUGACUUACUCUUAGAAAGAACUCUCUUGCAGGUUUUGAGAUCAUAUCAUCACAUUUGUGGAAACUCGAGUCAUUAGAUUUGUCACAUAAUCAGCUGACAGGAUCUAUCACUAGUAAGUUACAUUCUCUUUAUCAAGAAAAUUGAGGAAUUUAUAUCUAUAUGCUUUCAUGUAUCAUUUUAAUAUCUAAGAUACUUUCAUCACUGUUUUGACUAUUUCGAGAUAAAUUGUAUAGGUUGGUGUGAAUUGAAGAAUCUAAAGCAGUUAGAUCUCUCUGGAAAUAAUUUUGAAGGUUUACUCCCAUAUUGUUUGGGAAACUUGUCAUCUCUACAACUAUUAGAUGUUUCUGAAAACCAGUUUACAGGAAAUAUUGCCUCUGGUCCUCUUACCAACCUCAUAUCCCUUAAAUUCCUCUCACUAUCAAAUAACCUCUUUGAAGUUUCCACUUCAAUGAAGCCUUUUAUGAAUCACUCAAGCCUCAAGUUCUUCUCCAGUGAGAACAAUAGACUUGUAACAGAACAUGCUGCCUUUGAUAAUUUGAUUCCAAAGUUCCAACUAUUUUUUUUAGCUUGUCGAAAACAUCGGAAGCACUCAACGUAGAAAUUCCCGACUUCCUCUAUUACCAAUACGACUUAAGAGUCCUUGAUCUCUCCCACAACAACAUCACCGGAAUGUUUCCAUGUGGUUGCUUAAGAACAAUACACAUUGGAGCAAACUAUCUGAGCAGAACUCCUUUGUUGGUGCUUUACAUUGCAAGAUCAUCCAUAUCCAAAUAUGACCGAAUUAGAUAUAUCCAACAACAACAUGAACGGUCAAAUCCCAAAAGAUAUUUGUUUGAUCUUUCCAAAUCUGUAGAUUCACAGGUUGUAUUUCUUCUUGUUUGGGAAAUAUUAGCUCUUUGGGAGUUUUAGAUUUAUCCAACAAUCAGUUGUCCAUAGUAAAACUAGAACAACUAACAACAAUAAUGCUUCUCAAGCUGUCAAACAACAAUUUCGGUGGGCAAAUACCAACCUCGGUGUUCAAUUCUUCUACCUUAAAAUAUCUCUAUCUAGGUGGUAACAACUUUUGGGGUCAGAUAUCAGAUUUUCCAUUGUAUAGGAGGAAAAGGUGGACUAUAUUGGAUUUGAGUAACAAUCAUUUUUUAGGCAUGCUUCCAAGGUGGUUAGUCAAUUCUACGCGCCUUAUCGCAGUUGAUUUGUCCAAAAACCAUUUUAAGGGUUCGAUCCCAAGAGACUUUUGUAAGCUUGACUGCCUUGAAUAUUUGGACCUUUCUGAGAACAACUUGUCUGGAUAUAUACCGUCUUGUUUCAGUCCACCACAAAUAACCCAUUUGCAUCUAUCCGAAAAUAGAUUGAGCAGUCCAUUAACAUAUGGAUUUUAUAACAGCUCUUCCCUGGUUACGAUGGAUCUUCGAGAUAAUAGCUUCAUCAGCUCCAUUCCAAAUUGGAUUGGCAAUCUUUCAUCAUUGAGUGUUCUUCUUCUGAGGGCUAAUCACUUUGAUGGUGAGCUCCAUGUUCAGUUAUGCUUGUUAGAACAAUUAAGCAUUUUGGAUGUUUCACAAAACCAGCUCUUUGGUCCAUUGCCCUCCUGUUUGGGCAAUCUUACUUUCGAGGAAAGUUCCCUGAAAGCAUUCGCGUAUAACACUUCUUUUUAUAGACCAUGGUCCAUUGAAAAUGCUUAUAAUGAAACAAUGGGUCCACUACUAGUGGAUAGUAUGUUCAGCCUAGUAAGGAAUUAUAUGCUUAACUUUACAGAAGAAGUGAUAAAAUUUACAACUAAAAAUAUGUAUUAUGGGUACAAGGGGAAAGUUCUCAGCUACAUGCUUGGUAUUGAUCUCUCCAAUAACAACUUUGUAGGAGCAAUCCCACCAGAAUUUGGGAACUUAAGUGAGAUACUGUCUUUAAACUUAUCACACAACAAUCUCACUGGAUCUAUCCCUGCAACAUUCUCAAACCUAAAGCAGAUUGAGAGUUUGGAUAUUUCUUACAACAACUUGAAUGGUGUUAUCCCUCAACUUACUGAAAUUACCACACUGAAAGUUUUUAGUGUGGCGCACAAUAACUUGUCAGGUAAGACACCCGAGAGAAAAUUUCAGUUUAGGACCUUCGAUGAAAGCUGUUACGAAGGAAAUCCUUUCUUGUGUGGACCUCCAUUGCGAAACAAUUGUAGCGAGGAAUCAGUGCCAUCGCAGCCAGUGCCUGAUGAUGAACAAGGAGAUGAUGGUUUCAUAGACAUGGAGUUUUUCUACAUCAGUUUCGGUGUAUGUUACACAGUUGUGGUGAUGACGAUUGCAGCAGUUCUCUACAUCAAUCCAUAUUGGCUACGCAGGUGGUUGUACUUCAUCGAAGACUGCAUAGAUACUUGCUACUAUUUUGUGGUGGCUAGUUUUCGCAAGUUCUCCUACUUCAGAAGGUGAAUUUGUUACUGGAGAGACGGUCGUUCCUAGUUUGUGAAGCUUGUUUGUCUAGCUAUUGGGUGCUUAAUUUGUAGUGUAAUAAAUAUGUAAAGGGAACUGAUUUGGAUUGGUCAUUGACUUGGGUGUGAUUACUCUUUCAACUCUCAAGACUUUGUUGGGACUGCAAUUGAGGAGCUGGAGGGUGGGGAAGUUGUCCCAAUUUCUCCUUGAAACUAGGUGUGAUGUUGUUUUCAGAGACCUGUAAGAAUGUUAUCAAGCGCUCCAACAUGGCCUUGAAUACCUCCAGCUUUUCAAGCUGUUCUGACUUCGGUUGUUGAGGAUGAGAGUCAAGCUGGAAAGCAAAGUUAACAUACACGAGAAUUAAAAAUUUGCGUUGAUUCUUUGUAGCAAAAUAUUAGUGAAAAAAAAAGUUUCGAUGCAUGAUUAGUGCAGAUGAUACAGUGACAGGCAAUGCUGAUGAGGAAAACAAAUGAAUACAGAAGCUCAACGUGGGGAAAUUGCAGAUAAUCAUGCAUGGGCAGAUAAUCCGGAAGAAAUUGCAGAGACAAUGUACCUGCUGUAACUUGGCAGCAAUUCUCUGAUACAUUUCAUUUAUUUCAGGGAAAUAAGUCUCCUUCAUAACUUUGAUCUAGGAAGUACAAAUAACCAGCAAAACAUUGUCGGUCACAUGCUUGAUUUCUUCAGGUGCCAGUCAGAAAGAAAGUAACACAAACAAACUUAAGGGAAUUGAUAAAAAUAAAAUAACAAAAAAAGGGCAGAGUGGAAUUAAUGCUGGAAACUCAAGAAGAUGUCGAUAUAGAUGGAAUGGAAAGAUGCAAAGGGCUGUGUAAGUACAACUUUAGACAAGAUUCAGGGGUUGGUUAAGUUCAGUUACUUUGUCUCCCUGCAAACUACUCAUCAUUGUUUUCUGUUGUCAUAGCUCAAGACAAUGGAUGUCGCAACUUUAGCAACGCUUCUUAUCAAAUAUGCAGUUAUGACAUGAGACAUUCAGAAUUUGAACCUCAUUUUCUAUAAAAUUCAAAUAUGGUAAUGAUUCAAUGGAAUAAGUCCCACUUAUUUUCUUUUCCUUCCAUUGUCACAUGUUUCAGAACAAGUUGAUUGCAAUCGUGCAAAUAACUCUUCACUUAACCAAAGAUAAACUUUAAGUCACUCAGAAAUAGUGCACUCUUAUUUCUAAUUCUGUCUAAUGCAGUAAGAAGUACGGACAAUAGGACUCGUUGGAAAUAAAUAAUAAUUCACCACACAACAAAUAUAGGGGGGGAAAUCGAAAGGGAGAGGUUUGCAAUAAAAAAACUGCCGUGCCAGAACCAAGAAAGCAAUCCUCUUGACCUACAAAUCUGCAUAUUUUUACCUUCAUUCAUCUUAUCAAUGAUUAAUCAUUUCUUAGUUGCUGCAAUCAUGGAACUUACAAUGCUUCCUAACUAAUCCCAACCAUAGCUGAAUAAAAUUCCUUGGACCAAUCCCAGGAGACCUUUUUCCAUUGAAAUCUUGCAAGACUACAGCAUACAUGAACUCCAUCUAAUGAACAGUAAAUCACAGAAAUUACCUGCUGAUAGAUCUCCUCUUGCCAAUCAGCGCCUUUUGCAUGUCCAGUCUGUGCUGUAGAAUCUAGGGAUGCUGCAAAAAUUUCAAUGCGGGCAACAAAAGAUUAGAAUUCAUGUAUUACUGUGUGUUUUCCAUAUACAAGGGUAUUUCUAUAGUUUUCACACUUUCUGAAAAUUAUGGAAUAUUGCAAGUCUCAGUUUUAUUUUCCAUUUAGUAUUUUAUUAUCCCAAAGUACAGCGAGCUUCAUUAGAUUUUUCCUAUUCUAGAUAAAACUAUUAGUAUUUUCCUACAGAGGAAUACAAGUCCUUUUCGGACUAGGAGUACUAGGAAUUCCAUCUAAACGUUAUUAAACUAAUAGUUAAAAAAAUGGGUACAUAUACUCUUAUUCUUGGUUUAAAAUAAUAUAUAUUUUUUUAUUUUUAAAAAAUUAUUUUUGAUACCAUCGUAUCAAAAUGAUAUAAAAAUAAAUAAAAAUAUUAAUUUAAAAUAAAUAAAAUUUUAAAAUAUAAAAUUUUAAAAAAAAUAUUUUUGAAAUAUAAAAACAAACAAGAACCGAAUCCUCAGUUUGCCGGACCAAAAAUUAUUAAGAAAAAAAUCACAUUUUCCAUUAAAAAUGUGAUCCCAUUUCAACCACUCAUCAUAUUCGUACAUAUACUGGACCGUCCCAGAUUGUGAAUUCGGAUGUCCAAAAAUGGCAUGUGUCUCCAUGAAGCUCUGAUUUCUUGUUGGGGUUUGGUUUAAUUAUAACAAAAAUUUAGAGUGACCAAGUUCACGUACUGGGAACUCCAUCUAUACAAGGCUGGUGGGUUUCUUAUAUAGUUAAAAAAAUAAUUUUUAAAAAAAGUUAUGUUAUUAAACUUUAUAAAUUUUAUGGAUAUAUUUGGCUAAUUGACUUAGUUCAUGGAUCUGGCAAGAUUAACUUUUUUAAAUGAGUUUUUUUUUUCAUCCUUGGAUACUGAAUUAAUUGUGAAUUUAGUUUCAUAAUUAAUUUUGUUUCACAUUUUAUGAGGUUAUCAUGAUCUAAAAACAUUUUAAUAUUAAGUUGGUAUUUGAUUUUGUAAUUAUCUAUUUUUAUUAUCAUAUAGUUAAAUAAAAAAAUAGCUUUCAAAAACAAAUUAUAAUUUUAGUGGAGUCAAUGACCCAAUUUACAGGUUUAUCAUAUUAGCUCGAUUUACCAAAUUCACAAGUUUGACGAGUUUACCCACCAUUAUAAUAUGUUUUUUUUUGUCUUUUAAUUAUUUUUAAUAUUUUGAUUUUAUUAUUUAAUAUUGAAUUGGUUAGGAAAUGAACUGCAUUAUUGUUUUUUGUUUGCUUUCGAGGGAUAAUUGUCUCAAAUAAGUGUUUAUUUUUAGGUUGAUGCUCAAUUUUGUGGGCAUUUGUUUGAUGGGCUGAUGUCAAAAUAAUUUUUUAAAAAUAAAAAAUAUUAUUUUGAUAUAUUUUUAAGUACAAAUCACUUUGAAAAACUACCACUACCAUACUUCCAAACACAUCCUUAGCCCUGCAGUUGAACCAGUUUUUUAUAGAAAAAAAAACUUAAUUAAUUUUUUAGUAUUUUUAGACCGUUUUAAUAUACUGAUGUUAAAAAUAAUUAAAAAAAAAUUAUCAUAAUAUAUUUUAAACCAGAAAAUAUUUUAAAAAAUAAUUAUGCUACACUUACAAACAGGUUCUUAUUGUCUAGAGACCAUUUUAAUGUUCGAACUUUACGUAGGCCAUGUGAAAACUUGGCUGCAACAUGUAAUUGUUUUUUUUUUCUUUUUAGUUUUUAUAACGAGAUUCUUAUAUAUAUCCAUGAGUGAAUAAAAUAACCAAAUAAGUUUAAAAAAUCAACAUAAAAUUAAUUGAAAGAACCAACCAAUAUAAAAUAAAAAAAAAACGAUUAGAAAGUUUUAAAAUAUCUUCAAUUGGCUUUAGAUUUAAGAGAUUAAAAACAAUUAAAAUGAAACCAAACAAUUGCUUUUUUAAAAUAAAAAACUAAAAAAACCUCAAAAACAACCAUGCCUAUUACAUCAGAGUCUAUCUAAGGCCCCGUUUAUUUGUUGGAAAGUAGUUUUUUUUUGGAAAGUGAAUUUCAUAAAAGUGAAUUAUGGGAAAGUGAAUUAUUUUCUGAUGUUUGGUAGUAUAAUGAAAAAUAAGUUGGAAAACACUUUCUAGUGUUUGGUUAUGUCAUGAAAAAUGAGUUGUAAAAUAACUUAUUAAUGUUUUAUUUUUCUUAAGUUUAUUAAAAUAAUCAGGAACAAAUCUUACAAAUUAAAAAGUUGAAUGAGAAUGAAAUUGAAAAAAAUAUAUAAUUUAAUAAAUUAUCUCAAAUAAAAUAAAUAAUAAUCAAAAUAAUAGAGAUCAAAUCUAAAAAAUAAAUAAAAAUGAAAGAUGAAGAAAUUAAAAUAAUAAUUAACAUUUCAUAAAUUAUUUCAAAUAAAAUAAGUAACAAUCAAAAGAAUGAGGGCCAAAUUUGAUAGAUAAAAAAUUUCAAUAAAAAAAUGAUAAGGGAAAAGAAAAUAAUAAUUAUAAAAAUUAAAUUUUAAGAGAUGAAAUUGAAAAAUAAAUAUUCAAAAGAAAAUAUAUAUAGCAAUCAAAAGUUUGAGGACCAAAUUUGAUAAAAUCAGCAAAUAAUAUGACAUUUCUAAAUUUUUCACAACUUCUAGAAAGUGUUUUCCGCCUAAAUUUUCUAGGAAAACACUUUCUUGGAAAUUAAACCAAAUUUUUCUUUGACUGGAAAGUGUUUUCCGUUGACUAACUUUUCUAAUAACAAAUAAAUAUAAAAAAGUUUGGAAAGUGGUUUCUCGUAAACCACUUUCUAGAAAACAAACAUAGCCUAAAUAACUAAUUGAUCCUUGAAUCACAUUUUACCGUUAAGUUAGCGGCACAAACUAAGGAAAUAUUGCUGAAAGCUCAACAUUUUACUAACGAAAAAUUAAUGAAGGGAUCGCAUUGUAAACAUAUUUAAAAGUAUAGGGAUUAGUUAGAACAGCUAGUUAUCACUGCCUCUGAGAAUUAAUAUACCGCUCAGCAUUUUGUUGAAGGGACGGGCAAAGGUACAUUUAUUUCCGUUAACUUUCUAAUAUUGAUCUUGCUUCAGUACAAUUUAUUAAAUUUAUUUUAAUAUAUUAAAUAAUAUAAAGCACAAAACAGACCAUAAUAAAAUACAAUAAAAACAAGUUGUGAUAUAUUUGUUGCACAUGGCAAUCUAUAAAUGAAGUGUUUGGCCCUCAAUUUUCAUUUUUUAUUUUUAUUUUUAGAUUACUUUGAUGCUUUGAUAUUAAAAAUAAAUUUUCAAAAUAAAAAAAUUAUUUUGAUGCAUUUCAAAGUUAAAAAUAUUUUAAAAAACAAUUACAAUCAUACUCUCAAAUACUCUCAAAUUAUUUGAUAUACACUUUCGACAUGACAAGGAUUGAUCAUUGUCUUGUCUAAAGUUUUCCUUAGAAAAAUUAUUUUUUCUUAAUUUUUAUAUUAUCUAUUUAUCGCUUAUUUAUCUUUUAAUUUGAAAAACUAAAAUUUGAUCAAUUUUAUUAAAAUAGAUAUGUGCAUGAAAGAUUUUAAUUGCAAAAACUUUUGAUUUAAGAACUAGAUUGUUCUAGAUGACAAAACAAUUCUAGUAAAGACUAAAAUAUCAUAAAAAUAAAAAUACAAAGACUAAAACAAAUAAUUAAAAAAAUAUCAAUAAUAAUAAAAAAAUUAUUUGAACUUGUCUCGUAUGCAUCAAACAUAGAAUAAGAGCAUAUAUUAUAUAGUUCAAUUCAAUCCAAUAUUAAAUAUUGUUUAGUAUUUAUAUUGUCAUUUUCAAACCAUAAUACCUACCACAUUUUUAGUUUCAAUUUACAUACAAACUCAUCUAAUGAUAUUUUUAUUGUUAAAAAAAAUAUCAUAAUUUGGAAUUCCAAAAAAAUAUUCUAUUGGAAAAAUGUUGUACUAAAAUUAAAAACAAAAGUGGAAAUAUACUUGUAUAUUAUAAAUUAAUGGAAAUACAUCAAAUUACUGAUAAUGUCAAAAUGUUGCAUGGCACUUUAAUCACAUGUCUCCUCCUCCUCCUCCUCAAAAAAAAAAAAAAGUGGAAAUAUACUUGUAUAUUAUAAAUUAAUGGAAAUACAUCAAAUUACUGGUAAUGUCAAAAUGUUGCAUGGCACUUUAAUCACAUGUCUCCUCCUCCUCCAAUGAGGCCGACUCUAAUAUUAAAUGUCACAGCCCGAUCAUACCAAAAAGUUUGUAUGCUAGUGCUAUGCUGUGGAGAUCAAAAAACCUUUAAAUGUAAAACAAAAUAUCCAAGUCUAAGGGAACUCCUUAGCAUUAUUAUUAAACUAGAAAAUUCAGUCGUUUUGAAAUUUUCUCCAUCAAGAUAAUUUUUCUUAUUAAUAUAUUUCUUGUUUAUCUAUCUUGGUGAAUGCAAGCUUUUUUUCUUUACUAGAAUCAUUGUUUCUAUUAAAAGAAUAUUCUAUAAUUGUCACAACAAAUUAAAAAAAAAUCAAAAUAGUAUGUUUAUAUUUUUAUGUGAUUGAAAGUUAAAAAAAUAAUAAAUAUAAUAAAAUCAUACUCAAAAUAUAUUAAAAAAUUCUAUGAUUAAAAUAGUGAUUUAAAUUGAACUUUCAUUAACAAAUUUGUAUGUCAUAUAUAUAAUAAUUGAAAACAAUUAGUGUAGAUUAGUUGAGUCUGUUGCAGUGAAUACUUUUUUAACUGCUACUGCUACUGCCGCUUUGAACAAGAUUUUGAGGAAAUGCAGAAGUGCAUUAGGUAACUUGGUGCCCAUAGAUGAUGAUGAUGAGAUGUGGUCCGAAUAAACACUUCCAUUACUAGUUGUUGGUGUUUCACUAUGAAUGGAAGCUGCAGCUGCAAAUUGUUUCACAGGCAUUGUUGAAACAGAGGAGUCUGUUAAACAGAGGAGAACACAAUUGACUGCCCAACAGUUAAUGGGGUCUGUCCUCCAACCAUAUCGGCCUUCCUCUCUCCUUCCAUAUUUGAAGUGUCAUUUCCUCCAUUUUUCCCUUCUUCAGGCACACCGUAAUUCGUCUGCUGUGUUGCUUGGGCCGCAGUGAUGAAGUGAUAGCCAUGACUUGAUGCCUCUGGAGGGGCUUUGGAGAAGAGCAUGAUUCUGUACCAGCAAUCAAACAUCAAGACCUGAGAAAGUUGUGGGAUUCAAAUCUGGUAAGCACCAUUCUGUACCAACAUGUUCAGGGAUUGGAAUCUCGUACGCACCAUUCUGCAAAAUUGCCAGGGAAGUUUGGGGUAGUUGAAGCUCAUUGUUGUAGCACCAGUUACUGCCGAUGUCGUGGCAUUUAUUGAAGCAGAACUUUAGCUACUUGAAGAAGCUACAUUGCUAGCAAAAGGGGAAGGCCUCACACUGGCUGGUUGGAUAGAAGCUUUUACUGCUGCAGUAGCUAUAGAGGAGACUUGAUCUUCAGGUAGACUAUAAAGUGUAGGAAAUUGAACUGCAAGACAAGAAUCUAUCAGCCAGACAUCAUUCCAUAAGCUAAUAUCUCUACCAUUGCCAACCAAACCACAAACUUCUUUCUUUGCAAAAUAUUUUGAAGUCCCUCGUCCUUAUAAAAAAGUAAUGACAUUCCUGGACCAUGUACUGCCCUUUAAAUUAACACAAACUAAAGGCAUGUUCAAAUAUGCUUUUUGGUUGUGGAUGUUGUAGAUAACAUCUUUUCAUAGUCUUGUAUGAGACCUCCCAAACCUCCAUAGCCAUUUGAAAAAUUAACAAGGCUUUAUUUUUAUCAAUAAUGUAUUCUAUACCCACCUUUUUUGUUUUUGUUUUUUUUUGGAGGAACCACUAAUGCCCAUUUAACAUUGCAUAGUUUCUCAAUUUUGGUAGCAACAGUGGAUGCGAUAGGAAAUAAAGAAAGAUUAUUUAUAAUUGAGUUAAUCAAGCAAUAGUUUUCCAAACGGAUGUAUGAGAUGAAGAUGCAUGAAUAGGCAGACCCAAAUACUUAAAUGGCAUCCCCUCCAUCCUACAUAUUAGAUUGCUAGCAGUUGAAGAAAUAACAACAUCAUCAAUUCUAGUUCUAGUGAUUGAGUGGAAAUUAACCUUCAGCUUAGAAAUCAACUCAAAACAUCACAUAGUUCUUUUGAUGUUUGAAGAGAUGGAAAAUCAUAUGAACUGAAGAUGAGAGUAUCAUCUACAAACUGAAAGUGAGUAGUUUUCAGUUGAUCAUGACCAAAACAAAUACCUUUUAUAAGUCCCAAAUCACAUCUCUUUUUAGCAUUCUACUAAGACCCUCAGUCGCUAUAUUGAAAAGAGAUGGUGAUAAUUUCUUCAUAGAAGGCCAGUAGGAAUCAUUGGUAGACUUGAUGAGCUCUUCCCUUAAUUACCCUGCAGAUCCUAUAACAACUCUCCCCUUAUACUUAACCACACCAUCAGCAUAUGUAAAGCUGGGAGAUUGUGCAGCAUCUACCAGUUUACUUCUCAUUGUAUCCUGCAACAUGACAUCAUCUUUAUAAGAGGCAUGAAUCUUGUCAUACCAGGAGGGAGUUAUUUGUCUUUUGGCGGUGAACCUUCCCCCUUCCAUUUGAUUCCCUUGACAACCUUCUUGCCCCUGCAUAUUCCUCUUAUAUAAGGCAUCUGCAACCUUAUUCUCCUUCCCUUUUCUGUACCUGAUCCGAUGGUUCAACCCCAACAACUUAGUUAGCCCCUUCUUUUGAAUAGGAGUAUGAAUCUUCUAAUCAAGUAGAUACGUCAGACUUUCAUGAUUAGUUUGAAUGACAAACUGAUCUUGUUCCAAAUAAUGCCUCCACUUGUCGACUGCCAUUAGAAUAGCAAGGUAUUCCUUCUCGUAAAUGGAUAACCCCAAAUGUUUGACUCCCAAGGCCUUGCUCAAAAAUGCUAAUGGUCUUCCUUCCUGGCUGAGUACUGCUCCAAUUCUAGUAUCACAAGCGUGUGUUUCCAGCACAAACGGUUUGGUAAAGUCAGGCAGGGCCAGAAUUGAAGCCUCACACAAUGCUUGUUUCAGGUUGCGGAAAGCCUUCAGUGCUCCUUCAUGCCAAAGGAAGUUAUUCUUCUUGAGCAUCUCUGUCAAAGGCUAGCUGAUAAUACCAAAUUUCCUAAUGAAUUUUUUAUAAUAACCAGCUAGGCCAAGGAAUCCCCAUAGCUACUUAAUGGAUUUUGGAACUAGCCACUCCUGUACUGCUUGUGUCUUCUUAGGAUCAGUGGCUACCCGGCCCCUUCAGUUGAAAUUAUAUGCCCCAAAUACUCCACCUGUGGCUCUACAAAUGUGCACUUGGAUCUCUUCACAUAUAGUUGGUUAGUUUUAAGCAUUUCCAAGACUUGCUUCAAAUGAUUAAAAAAAUACUAAGACAAAUUUUCUCAAAAAUAGCUCUAGGAUAUCAUUCAUCAAGGCUUGGAAGGUUGCAGGAGCAUUCAUGAGAUCAAAAGGCAUUACCUAGAAUUCAUAGUGCCCUUGAUGAGUGCAAAAUGCUAUCUUCUCUAUAUCUCCCCUUCACGCAUAUGAACUUGAUGGUAUCCUGACCUUAGAUCCAGUUUUGAAAAGAUGAUGGAUCCUUGUAUCUCAUCUAAUAAGUCGUCAAUCAGAAGAAUGAGAAAACUUGUUCUUAAUAGUGACUUCAUUUAGCUGUCAAAAGUUUACAUAAAAACACCAUGUGUUGUCCUUCUUCUUCACCAAAAAAACAAUAAAGGCAAAGGGACUAACACUUGGUUGUAUUAUGUUGUUGUGUAGCAUCUCCUUGACCAUCCUUUCGAUCUCCUCCUUUUAAAAGAAAGAGCUCUUAUAUAGUCUACACUUGACUUGACUUGACUUGGAAAUAAUAAUAAUAAUAAUAAAAUAAAUAAAUAAAUAAUAUAUGUUGUAGUGAGAAAAGCUAUCAGACCGCCCAAAAUGGCCAAAAAUUGGUCGAGGAGGUUAAAAAAUGCAAAGAUUGAAAUUUGAUAGUAUAUCGUUGACUGACGAGAGUCUGUUAACAAAGAAAAUUUAAUUUUUAAAAAAUAUAUCAAAAUCAGAUGUUUAUGGACUCAAUUAAAUUUUAUUGAGGGUUUAAUUGAAUUUAUGGAGGGUUUGAUUGAAAUAAAAACUGAAUUUUAUGUCGAUUUAGGCUUUUAUUGGAAGAAAUUAAAGUUAAAGGGUCCAAUUAUAAUUUUGAAGAGUUGAUUUGGUCAAAUCAGGGGUUUAAUUGCAUAAUUAUUAAAUUUUUAUGGGCAAUUAGGGACUUGAUUGAAAAAAUACAAAACCAAGGACCAAACCGGAAAAUGAGCGUAAAUAGAGAGGUUGCAAUUAACCAAGUCAGGGGCUAAAUUGAAAAAAUUAAAAUUUUAUUGAUCAAUUGAGGGUCAAAUCGCAUGAAUCCAUAACCAAAGAGGCUAAAAUCCAGGGAUCCAAUUACAAUUUAUUCGGGGGCUUGAUUACAAAAUUGCAAAACAUCUGAUGACCAAAUCGGAAAUAUUCAUUUUGAAUUUUAAAAUGGUACCGUUUCCUUGACAAUUGUUCAUUACCUUACUUCAUCAACAACGGUUUCUACAGUAAAAGGCAGUGAAGACGUUAGCGGUGGAGCUGCUUCAAUCAGGGGAGCACGUCUCACGGCUGAUAUCCCUCUCCACCAUGAUGCACUUCGGCCGUUACAACCUUCCUGCAAUAAAUCCCGAAAAGCAUGCAUCCUUUGGCUAUAAAAAGCCAGAGGAGAGACGGACAUAAAAAAAAAAAAAAGAGGAGGAGACAGGGAGGGGGAGCGAGCAGGACAAGAGAGAAAGUGGGGAGCAACACGAGAGGGAGAUAGAAACGAGUAGAAGGAAAGAAUGUAUGCAGAGGAAAACGUUGAGACCAGAACCAGCGUUGCCAUUGUCUUCGUCAUUUCAAAAACCAGAGACAAAGAAGAAGAAGAGUGCAAAUAAGAAUUAAAUGAAAGGAGAAUCAGAAACGAAACUAGUAGCAGAAGAAAAGAAAGAAACGUUGCUCGAUUAGAGCACUGAUCACCCUCAACUGCAUCUUCAUCUGCAGGCAGCAGCUCCAGGGGACGUUUGAGAGGACUAGAGAGGGAGAAAAAGAAUAAAACAGGGAACAAGAGGAAGAACAGAGCAGAAGAGAAAAAAAGCAGAAGGGAAACGCAGAGAAAGAAAGAAGAACCACCAGCCAGUUAGCACCACGAUCCGCAACCGCAACACCGUCCACCGCCACCGGCAGCACUGCUAGGCCGCAGGUCUGCUUCUUCCUCCUAUUCUUCUUCAUCUUCUCCAGGCCGCUCCACUGUUCACAUUGCAUGGGAACAGUGGAGUCUCUCCGCUGUUUGUUUUAGUUUUCUGGGUUGGACAGCAUUAGCCAAGCCCAAAAUAAUUGGUCGGGUCCGGCCCAAUAAAAAAAAACAAUUCUUUAAAAAAAAUCAUAGCUUUUUAUAGCCCCAAGCGUACGUCCUCAUCUCGUGGGAAAAAUUGCAUGAUGACAAUGGUAUCAUUAACCCAUCUCUGAUGGAUAAUUUGUUGCAAUGUCCAUCUCCAUCAAAAUCCUUUUUGUUUUGAAAAGGAUUAUAUAUACAUACACACACUCAAUGAUCACUUAAUAUUUUAUAUUAUUUUUCAAGUUUUGAGAUAUAAGUUCAUAGCUUUUAAAGACAAAAAAUAUACCACAAGAUUUUAAACGAUUUCAUAUUUCAUUAAAAUAAAUAAAUAAAUUACUUAAAUGGUUACAAUAUUUUUUUUUUAAGAAAAUAAAUUGAUUUAUUGUGUUAAUAACAUUUAAGGAUUUCUUCCAAAUAAAUAAUCAAAUUUAUUUUAAUUAAAAAGUUUCUAAUCAAUAACAACAUUCUAUAUUAAACCAAAGUAUUUCCACGAACGCAUCUCUUGAAAAAAAUGCAUGAUAGCAACGGUCUCAGGACCAAUAUGUAGAUGAAAUUGGUCUCAUGAGCUCAUAAAUGCUUACGGGGCAAUGGUCUUAGAAACCAUCUCACUAGAGUGGAAAAAAUGCAGAAGACAAAAGUUUCAUAGACCCAUCUCACACUAUAAAUUCUCAUUCAUUUUACUUGUUGGUUGUGUUAUAAAAAUUAAACUCUCUAGAAAGAAAAAGAAGAAGACUUUUUGUAAUGACAAUGACAAGUAUUUUAGAAAUAAUUCAAUAUAUAAAAAGACACUGACAUUUGGUAUCAAAUUAUGAAAAUAUCAUUGGUAAUUUCGCAAAGUUUUUAUAACUUUGAUUGCCUUAGAAUUUUAAUUUGUGAUAUAAAUAGAUGUUAUAAGAGUUCUCAUAAAAUUGAGAAAUAUAAUUGAUAAUAUAAAAUUAAAAAUAAAAUAUUAUUUGAUGAUAAUAAAAUGACUGGAAUACUAGUGAGAAUUUAGGUGAAAUUCAUAAAACAAAUAUAAGAUUUCGAAGAUGAAAUAUCUUCUAAUUUAUUCUAUUUUUUAAAUUGAAAUAAAAUGUACCUGUCAUACGCCCCAUCUCGUGGAAAAAAACAAUAGCUUUUACAGCCCAAAGCAUACGGCUCCAUCUCGUGGAAAAAAUUGAAUGAUGACAAUGGUAUCACGUGGAUAAUUUGUUGCAAUGUCCUCUCCAUCAAAAUCCUUUGAAAAGUUAUAUAUAUAUAUAUAUAUAUUAUAUCAUGACCGUGUUCGAAAAAUCACAUGAGAAUCGCACAGUUUCGUUGAUUAAUCAAACAAUUAAUUAAUAAAUAAAUAAUAAAAUGGUAAGACCAAGACUUGUGACUAUGACUGGCAAUGACAGGUUUGGCCCUGCACAUGACAGGAUAAAUUAAAUUAAUAAAAAGCUUGUUGACCAGUAAUCACUCUUUGACAAAACUCGAAAUUAACAAAUCAAAUGCGAACACACCACUCAAAAUGGCAAUGACAUUUGCCCUUUUCUAUGCGCACUACCAUUUACAUGUCUUAUUUUUUUAUUAAUAUUUAUUUUAUUUAAAAGAAUUAGUUUUAAAAAUCUUAGUGUAUUAUACAAGUGCAUUUAUUUUGAUGUUUCUCACACGUAUAUUAUAUAUUCAAUUGUUUAAUAGUUAAAAAAUACAAAGAGUUAGUGACACUUGCACAAAGUAUUUGUAUCUUGUUUUUUCUAAUUAAAAACUUGUAUUGAUUUAUUUAUUUUUUGUAAUACCUGCUCUUAUGAAUUUUUAUCAAUCAAGUCUUUAUAUUAGUUUUGUUGCCAGAAUGCAAAUAACACGAUUAAUAGUAUUUUAUUUUUGAUUUUUUUCAAGGCCUAAAUUUUUCACAUGUAAUUUCUAUAAAAAAAAGUAGCAAGUUUUCUAUAUCUAUCAUCCUUAUGUGCCUAACAUUAACCUUUUCAUCAUGUAUUUUUCCAAAUUAUAAAUAAAUAAAAAUAAACUUGAAUUGGGGUCAACAUUUUAAGAAGGAAUAUAAGUUUCGGUUAAUUACUUAAUUUUAUGCAAUUCAUUUUUUUUAAUAUAAUAAGUUUUAAUAUAUAUUUUGAAUUUAAUAUUAAUAGUUAUAAAGUUUAAUUAGUUAAUAAAAAAUGUUCCACUUUUGUUCUCUCUUUAUCACCUUUUCUUUUAAAGGGGUUACGUACAGCCUUGCAUAUUAUUUUAAAGUUUAUUUAUUUUGAAUUUAAUAUAUAAAAAUCUUUUGUAUAGAUGAAUUUUAUUUUUGAAAAUAAAAAAAAUUAUUUUCAAAUAAUAUUUCUAAUAUGUGCAGCCUUACAUAUUAUUUUAAAGUUUAUUUAUUUUGAAUUUAAUAUAUAAAAAUCUUUUGUAUAGAUGAAUUUUAUUUUUGAAAAUAAAAAAAAUUAUUUUCAAAUAAUAUUUCUAAUAUGUGCAGCCUUAUAUAUUAUUAUUUUUCUCUUUUUAUUUUAUUCAAUCAAUUUAUAAUUUGUAUAUGUUUUUAUUAUCGUUUGAUCGAAUAAAAAAAUUAUUUUAUUUGAAUUUUUAAAAAAUACAAUUAUGUAAAUAUCAUGUCUUGUAAAAUUUAACUUGCGAUGAAGUUGUGAUCAAAUAUUUAAGUCUGUGUGCUAAAAUGAGUGGUACUCAAGAUUCACAUACCUUAUCUUCCAAGCAAGAAGAGACAAGAAAAGCAGUAAAUGAUGUUCUUUUCUCCAGCUGUAAAUAAAUAAAAAGAUUAAUACCAAAAACAUAGACAAAAAUUAAUGUGGAUCCACACCACUUUGAUUAUUCUUCACUUUCUUUGCUUUUCCUGUAUUUCACUACUUGAUGAUUCAAAAGUUAUCUAUUUAAAAAAAUUAUUUUUUAAAAAUAUUUUUAAAAUAAAAAAAUAAACAAAUAUUAUUAUGUCAUGCAACUAAAUUUAUUUUGACAUUAUUCACACGAGAAUUAUAUAUUCAAUUUGUUAAGUGUUAGCAAUGCAAAAGAGACAAUGACAAGUACAAAUUAUAUUUAUUUUAUAAAUUUUUAAUUUAAAAGCUUGUAUCAAUGUCUUUUUUUUAAAAAAUUGAAUACUUGUAUUCAUGAAAUUUAAAUAACAAAAUAUCUUUAUUAGUUUUAUUAUUAGAAGAUGAUGUCAUAGUUAAUUUCUUUUAGAUUACUCUGGAUUGAUUUUAUUUUAUUUUUAAUUCAUAAACAAUAAAGAUAUGUAAAAUGCUUAUAAUUUAUAUAUAUAUUUUUUAUUUAAGUACUCUAAUUGAUUUUAUUUUUCUAUUUAAUUACUUGAUAAACUAGUGUCUGUAUAUAAAUAUGUUUAAAUUAAUUUCUCUAAUAAAAGUAUAUAAAACAAAUUCAAUAAAACUAUAUUUUUAUUAAUAGAUUUGAACUUAAAACAACCAUAUAUUUUCAAGUAACCAAGAGACGGACAUCCUUUCAAGAAAAUCAUUAUUACUAACACCAUUAACAUUUGAAUUAAUAGCCCCAUCUUAAUAUAAAUGUUGAUUAAUCAUUACUUAAUUGCUACUAGUAUAAGUAACUAUCCCUUGCAAUGGCAGCGAAGACUUUCAGGCUUCUACCAUGCAAAGUUUUCAAUUCCGUUUUAAUUGAUGUUUUAUUUUUUUUAAUUGUAACAAUAUGUUUUGAUUUUUGAGUAUUUUGAUAUGUCAUUUUGGGUUGUUCUAUAUAUAUAUAAUUCAAAAUAUUAAUUUAACAAAUAUAAUUUCAAUUUAAAUUUAAAGAUAAACUAACUUGAAAUUAUGUAAUUGAAAUUUCAAAUAUAAGCAAAAGAAUAAGUGCUUAAUUGAUAUGACUUGAUCAAUUUGAUGAAUCCAAAAGUAGUUUAGAUGACUGGUAAAAAUAUAAUUUUACUUAAAAAAAAUUCAAGAUGAUAUAUUUUUUUAAAAAAUUAUUGAGACAACAACAUAUUGGGAUCGACCCGGGUCAAUUUGAGUUAACCUUUUAAAUCCAUGACCCAGGUUAUGAGACCAUAAUAACCCCAAAUAAAAUAAAUCAAAACAAAUUAUGAAUCUUAAUUUUCAAUGAACGUAUUGUUGAAUUAUGAAAUUGAAAAAAAAUCAAUCUAAAAAAAGAUAUAAAAAAUGACAUUUCGAAACAAAAUUAUAAAUUUGAAUAAAAUUAUGAAAAUAUCAUCGGCAAUCUUGCAAAGUCUUUCUAAACUGUGAUUGCCUUAAAAGUUUAACUUGCGAUAUAAAUAUAUGUUAGGAGUUUCCUCAUAAAAUUUUAGUCUAAUUCAACAGUCGUAUUGAGAGAUAUAAUUGAUACUGUAAAAAUAGAUUAUAUUUUUUUUUAUAAAAGCAAAACAAAAUAUUAUUUGAUCAUAAUAAAAUGGUUAGAAUAUAACUAAAAUAUUUUUGUCAGAAUUUUGGUGAAAUUCAUAAAACAAAAUAAGAUUUUGAGCAUGAAAUAUCUUUUAAUUUAUUAUAUUUUUUAAAUUAAAACUAUAGCUUUUAGAGCCCCAAGCAUUCGGCCCCAUCUCUUGGAAAAAAUUGAAUGAUGACAAUGGUAUCACGUGGAUAAUUUGUUGCAAUGUCCUCUCCAUCAAAAUCCUUUUUGUGUUGAAAAGUUGUAUAUAUAUAUCAUUCAUGGCCGUCUUCAAGAAAUCACAUGAGAAACGCACAGUUUCGUUGAUUAAUCAAACAAUUAAUUAAUAAAUAAAUAGUAAAAUGGUAAGACCAAGACUUGUGACUAUGACUGGCAAUGACAGGUUUGGCCCUUCGCAUGACAGGAUAAAUUAAAUUAAUAAAAAGCUUGUUGACCAGUAAUCAUUUUUCACAAAACUCGAAAUUAACAAAUCAAAUGCGAACACACCACUCAAACUGGCAAUGACAUUUUCCCUUUUCUAUGUGCACUGCCAAACAGUCCCUUUACAUGUCAUUUUCACCAUCCCUCUCUUUUCCACGUGCUUUUCAGGAUUCAAAAUACGUGUUUAGGAAUAUUGAUGAAAAAUUAAAUAUAACCAGAAAACAAAUACAGGAAAGCAUUCCCAAUUAAACCAAGUAUUUCCACGAACCCAUCUCGUGGUGGGAAAAGGAUGUCUCACAGCCUCUCCUCGAGAAAAAAAUGCAUAAUGGCAAAGGUCUCGACGACCAAUGUACAGAUGGAAAUGUUCUCAUGGACCCAUCCUGUAGAAAAAAUGCUUGAUAGGACCAUCCCAUUGCCUUUAUCAUGGAAAAAAUGCAUGAUGGCAAAGGUCUCUCAGGACCCAUGUGCAGAUGGAAAUGUUUUCAUGGACCCAUCUAGUAGAAAAAUUGCUUGAUAGGACCACCCCACUAAAAAAUGUAGAUAGGAAUAUAUAAUCUUACAUACUCAUCUCACACUGUAAAUUUAUAUCUAUCUUACUUGUUGAUUGUGUAAUAAAAAAUAAAGUCUUUAGAAAAAAAAAAAAAGAGAAGACUUAUUGUCUUGACAAUGACAAGAAGUCUUUUAAAAAUAAUAUUAUUUGUAUUUUAUUUUAUUAAUGAUAGUGGUUUGAUUUUGCCAUCGCUAUCGAAAUUAAGGCAUGAUUUUUCACACGUUAUUUUCAUAAAGAAAGUAGCAAGUCUUCUAUGACCGGCAUUGUCAUGCAAAGUGAGCUGUCUAUCGUUAACCUUUGAUUUAUAUAUUUUUUUAAAAAAAUUGACAUGGGUUCAACUUUAUAAGAAGGAAUACAAGUUUUUGGUUAAUUACUUUUAUGUAAUUCAAUUUUUUUUUUUCUACAAUGUGGUUUUAAUUAGUGUUGUUAAAUUUAAUUCAAGCCUAACAUUUUAAUUUGGAAUCUAACCUGAUUUAGGUUUAGAAAAAACUAAGUGAGAGUUCACCAAAUAAAGCCUAAUCGACUAGAUAAAUCAACUCACAACCUAGUCAACUCAGUCAAAAACUAAUUUUAUUUUUUUUAACUACUCGAUUUUGAUUUUUCUAAAAAAAAUCUUAAAAUGAUACAAUAUUUUAUUAACAUCAGUCAAUAAGCUAACUUGUUCGAUUUAUAACUCAAAUCUUGAUCCAAGUAUUAAGCCAAUUUAUGACCUAAACCCUCAUCUAGGUAUUAAAUCUAACCAUGUUUAAUAACUUUGGUUUCUUAAGAAAAAUAUCAUGUAUAAAACAACUUUUAAAGAUUUUAGGUAAAAAUAAUGAUUUUAAGUUAUGAUUUGUUUAAAUGAUGAAUUUGAGUUAUAAAUCUUGAUAUAUCAAUAGGUGAUCUAUGAAAAAUUAGGGUUUUGAAAUUGAAAAUGAUAAAAUUCAGUUUGGUCUUUUAAUUUAUAAAAAUUUAAGUUAAUUCCAAAACUUUGAAAAAAUUUCAGAUUGUUCCCAUGCUUGACAAUAAAUGCCAUAGCUUCUGGUGUUGCCUUUGACGCUGCCAUUAUAAGGCCUUAGCAUAUCAGCUAGACCCAGAAUAUUAAAUAACAAAUCAAGAGGGUGAGCCUUUCCUUGACGAAUAUCCUCAAUGGCCUUUGGGAUCGAAGCAAAUCCUGUGGCCACAAUUUAUUGUUAGUACGUGUUUGCAAUUUGCAACAUAUAUUUUGAGUAAUGCGCUGUUUUUGUUUCUAGCUUUAGGUGAUUGCACCAAAGAUAGACUGAACAAAAGGGACAUACAUAAAGAUUUAUAAUUAUUCCGUGUUUAUUAUUAUUGAUAAUAUAUAUAUAUAUAUAUAUAUAUAUAUAUAUAUAUAUAUAUAUAUAUAUAUAUAUGAUAGUGAGAUGAGUAAAUGAUUCUAAAUUAUGACAGAAGUACAAUUAUAAAGUUAAAAAAAUCUUAAUGUAACAAUGCUAAAGUAUUACAACAAUUAUUUUAUUUUAUUUUAUUUAUAUAAAUUGGAUAAUUAAUAACCAAAAUAUAAUUUAAUGUAAAUAAACUAAGUGCUAAACAAUAAAUUAAAAUAAUAUUCAAAUCCUAAAAUAUUUCAAAAAGAAAUAAAAUAAUGUUCAAAUCUCAAAACAUGAAAUCCUAAAUUAUGAUGAGAGAAGUAUAAUUAUAAAGUCAAAAAGAUCUUACGCGGAAUCACACACGAAUAUCGAUAACAAUGAUGAAGUACUACAACAAUUUAUUUUAUUUUAUUUUAUUUAUAUAAAUUGGAUAAUUAAUAGCCAAAAUAUAAUUUAAUGUAAAUAGACUAAGUGCUAAACAAUAAAUUAAAAUAAUAUUCAAAUCCUAAAAUAUUGCAAAAAAAAUAAAAUAAUAUUCAAAUCUCAAAACAUAGAACCCUAAAUUAUUACGAGAAAAGUAUAAUUAUAAAGUCAUGAAAACAAUCUUACCAAUAUCUACAAUAUUUUUAUUUAUUUUAUUUUUUUAUAAAUUGAAUAAUUAGUAACCAAAAUAUAAUUAAAUACAAAUAGACUAAAGGCGGAACUGAACAAUAAAAUAAAGGCCGAACUGCACAAGAUAAUAUUCAAAUCUAUAUUAUCGACAAACACACCAUAAAGGCCGAAGUGUCAGACUUUGGCACUUCUAGGUUAAUUCCGUUGGAUCAUGUUUAAUUGUCAACAAUGGUGCGAGGUACUCUAGGAUACUUAGACCUGAGUACUUGCACACAAGCCAACUGACGGACAAAAGUGAUGUUUACAGUUUUGGAGUGGUUCUUGUUCAACCACUAACUGGGAUGAAGGCAAUUUCCUUCGAUAAGCCUGAGGGCCUUUAAGUGCAAAAUAAUAAAAUAAAAUAAUAUUCAAAUCCAAGAAUAUUCCAAAAAAAUAAAAAUAUUCAAAUCUCCAAACAUGUAACCUGCACCCAAGAUAUGCAGAAAAAGUCAAGGAAAUUAAAUGGCCAAAGUGUAGUAUAAAUAGGACCUCUAUGGUUGCCCAAAUGCACAUAACAAACAACAAUAUUCUACGUAGUAGUUCAUAGAAUUAUCUAAGAUGAUGAUGAAAGGAAUUGGGCCUUGGAUGUUGCUAGCGUUAUUGGCUGUGGUUGGCCAGUAAUGCUAUAAAGAAGAGAGUGGUAUAUCCACUUUCUCAUCAAUUACUUGAGAUUUAUGGAAGAUAUGAUACAAGAGAUAAGAAAAUGACUGCUAUCAUCGACAAUUUCUCUGUUAUAUAUAUAUAUAUAUUUAUAUAUAUAUAUUACGCGUAGUUUCAUGAAUCCUUUCCAUUAGAUAAUCAAUAAUAUUGUAUAUAUUCUUUUUGGAGAAGUAACUCAUUUUCACACCCUUGUUGUAGUUUUCCAUUCAUUUUCACCCUGCUUUUCUUUCCAUUCACGCACACAGAUAGUGCAUAAAAGCACUACGACAAUAGCUGACUCCCAGUCAAUACGGCGGACGCAAAUUGUUUGGUGAGGUUGCAUUCCAACAAAACUAAUUUGAAUAUUUUUCCCAACCUGGCACUUCUAGGUUAAUUCCGUUGGAUCAUGUUUAAUUGUCAACAAUGGUGCGAGGUACUCUAGGAUACUUAGACCUGAGUACUUGCACACAAGCCAACUGACGGACAAAAGUGAUGUUUACAGUUUGGGAGUGGUUCUUGUGGAACUACUAACUGGGAUGAAGGCUAUUUCCUUCGAUAAGCCUGAGGGCUUUAAGUGCUAAAUAAUAAAAUAAAUAAUAUUCAAAUCCAAGAAUAUUCCAAAAAAAAUAAAAUUCAAAUCCAAGAAUAUUCUAAAAAGAAAUAAAAUAAUAUUCAAAUCUCCAAACAUGUAACCUGCACAAGAUAUGCAGAUAAAGUCAAGGAAAUUAAAUGGCCAAAGUGUAGUAUAAAUAGGACCUCUAUGGUUGCCCAGAGGCACAUAACAAACAACAAUAUUCUACGUAGUAGUUCAUAGAAUUUUCUAAGAUGAUGAUGAAAAGAAUGGGGCUUUAAUGUUGCUAGCAUUAUUGACUCUGGUUGGCGAAUGGUAUGGUCGUUGUUAUGGAUGUUUGGAGGAAGAGAGGAUUGGUCUCUUGGAGAUCCAAUCUUUGAUCGACCCAUAUGGCCUUUACUUGAGAGAUUGGGUGGACAACAAUAGUAAUUGUUGUGAGUGGCAGGAGAUCGAGUGUGAUCCGACUACGAGUGUGUUUGGCAGUGUGGUGGCGGUUGCUUUUCAAAUAACUUUUCAUGUCGAAAUGCAUACCAAUGAUAUUUUUUUAUUUUUUAAAAAUUAUUUUUGAUAUCAACAUAUCAAAACGAUCUAAAAAGUACAAAUCACAUUAAAUUUUAAUAAAAAAAAAUUUCAAAUUUGGUGGGAACGCGGUUUGCACCGCGUUCCCAAACACUUCAGGCGAGUGAUCCAACUCUCUCUUGCAAGGGAUAAGAGCUUGGGCGAUUGGGUUCUCAACGCAUCUUUGUUUCAGCCUUUUAAAGAAUUGCAAAGUCUUUAUUUGAAUUGGGCUGGAUUGGUUGGUUGCAUUGAGAAUGAAGGUUAGUUCAAUUAUAAUCAUAAAAUAAAUGAAGGUUGGUUGGUGUUUAAUGUCAAUUAUCUUGCUUUGAUGAUUCUCUUCCCAGACUUUGAAGUCCUCCUAUCAUCAAAACUGAGGAAUCUUGACCUAAGUGAAAACCAAUUUAAUAAUGACAAAAGCAUUUUGUCAUGUUUCAAUGGUAACCUUUCCACUCUCGAGUCUUUGGAUCUAUCAGCCAAUGGGUUGAUAGCUAGAUCAGGAGGUAGCUUCUAUGGUAGCCUUUUAAUUAUUUAGCUUCGAAACCUUUUCAUUUUUUUUCUAUGCGUUUAAUUAUUUCCUUCCAAUAUGCUCUUGAGGAACAUCAUGCAGGUCUCAAAGUCUUGUCAUCAAGGUUGAAAAAGCUGGAGAACCUUCAUCUAAGUUAUAAUCAAUACAACGAUAGCAUUUUCCAUCUCUAACUGGAUUUUCAUCCCUCAAGUCUUUGGAUCGGGAUUCAUAUUUAUGUUUAUAUAUAAAACACAAUGUUGUUUUGACACACACACACAUAAAUUUAAGGUUAAUCCAAAUUGAUCUGGACAUGAUAAAAAUCAUGAUACAAAUCUUAUCCCAGGUUAGCCCUCGAGCCGGGCUAACGAGGAUUGGUUGGAAAAAGAUUAUGGAAGACCACUACUAUGCAUAAGGAAAUCACCAGGAAAUUACUCAUCUUGGCCAAUAGUGCUAUAAAGAAGAGAGAGUCGUAUAUCCACUUUCUCAUCAAUUACGACAAUAAUUGACUCCCAGUCAAUACGGUCCACGCAAAUUGUUUGGUGAGGUUACAUGCCAACAAAACUAAUUUGAAUAUUUUUAAUGUGGGUAAAACUUUUAAAUGUUAUAGUGAGGUAAUGUUAUGUUUUCUUUAUUUUGAGAUAAAAAAAACAUUAUAUUUAGAAAGGUUUCGAAUUAAUUAAAUAGGUUAUGAAAAUAUAAUUGCUUAGUGGUAUAGAUAAUAAAAAUAUGAUUGAUUAGUGGUUGUUUAAUGGUAUAGAAGUAUCAAGUUAAAAAUUAGAAAAAUAAAGUUAGAAGUUGUUAGUUUAUGUAUUUUACAGGUGCUGCUGUUUGAUCCAAAAAAUGAUUUGAAUAGAUACAGUUUUUUACCCAAAUUUUAUACAUAGGAAAAGCUUGUUCUCUCUGGUUUUUAAUACCAUAAACGGUGCAUUAAUCCAGUUUUUAUAGAAUAGCUAUGAUGAAAAUAAUAAAGAAUACGUGGACUAUCGAAUGAUUUCGGGGAUUAUUAUAAAUUAUAUAAAAGGAAUUGCUAUCUGAAUUAUAUAUAUGAAUGAAAAGGUAAUGAGACUAGUUUACAACCCAAAAAGCAUAAUAGAAUUCUGAAUGUUCUAGGAGCUAUGAUUAGUUUAUUAGGUAGCAUGUAGUUAACAAAUUAUUGUAGUUAAGUGUUGAAGGGAUUUUAACAGGUUAUAUGCUUGUGAAUAGGUUUUUUGAGCUAAGAUUUCAGACCAGGCAAAGUAUAGAGAAGUUAGUAGCAGUGAGCAAGAACCCUGAACUUACAAACCACACCAAUAUAAAAAAUGUGAGGAAUCAUUAGCAAAAAAUAAAAACAAAUAAUGACAUAAGCAAGUGUCGGGCAAGUAAUAUACAACAUCAAGAUACAUAGACAUCAAAUAGUAAUUUUCUUGAACCGGAAGAACCCUUCAUUUAUGGGUAUGUUCCAAGAUAGAUAAGUGAAUUAGUUGCAAAACAGGGGAGUCUCUGUGAAAACAUUACAAUAGCAUUUACUCUGAGCAAGAACGCUUCUAUGCAUGUGUUGUAAUUGACAAAGAAAAGGAGAAAUCCUUUCAAUUUAUGAAAAUGCAAUGAGUUAACCUUAUCUCACACUGCAAUAUAUACUCUACAGUAUUCAUGUAUGAAAACAUUUGAACGGGAAUAAAUAAAAUAAUUCAUCAAACAAUAUGAGAGUUGUUUGGAAAAAGAUUCUGGAAGAGCACCAAUAUGCACAAGGAAAUCACCAGGAAAUUACUGCAUGGUUGUUUUAAAAAUCAAAAGGGCACAUAGCAAGUCUAGCAUCCGCGUUCACAACCUUUUAAUGCUUUAACUCAUCUUCGCCAGUAGUGCUAUAAAGAAGAGAAAGUGAUAUAUCCACCUCUUUCUUUCUUUCUUUUUUCUUUUAUAAAAAAAAUCCCUUUUAUGCUUAAAAUCCACCCACUAAGAGCUUGUUUGAUAGUGUGGUUCAGGUUGCUUUUCAAAUAAUUUUUCGUGCUAAAAUACAUGUCAAUGAUAUUUUUUUAUUUUUUUAAAAUUAUUUUUGACAUCAGCACAUCAAAAUGAUUUGAAAACACUAAAAACAUAUUAAUUUGAAGUUAAUAAAAAAAUAAAAUAAAUUUAAAUUUUUUUAAAAACGCUUUUGAAACGCAGAAACAAACAGUCCCUAAGAGUUAUAUGUAUUGGAUUUUUAACAGUGCUAAGUUAAAAUAUCAAACUUAUGACCUUCAAGAUUAAAACGCGUUUGAAAAUGCGAUUAAAAAAUCUCCUAAGUUAAUAUCAAAUUUUUUAAAAAACGCUUUUAAAAUACAAAAACAAACAGUCCCUAAGGGUUAUAUGUAUUGGAUUUUUAAAAACGCUUUUGAAACGCAGAAACAAACACUCCCUGAGGGAUUUUAACAGGUUAUAUGCUUGCGAAAUGGUUUUUUGAACUAAGAUUUCAGACCAGGCAAAGUAUAGAGAAGUUAGUAGCAGCGAGCAGGAACCCUGAACUUACAAACCACGCCAGUAUAAAAAAUGUUAGUAUCAGAAAUGUGAGGAAUCAUUAGCAAAAGGUAAAAACAACUAAUGACAUAAGCAAGUGUCGGUCAAGUAAUAUACAGCAUCAAAAUACAUAGACAUCAAAUAGUAAUUUUCUUGGACUGGAAGAACCCUUCAUUUAUGGCUAUGCUCCAAGAUAUACAAGUGAAUUAGUUGCAAAACAGGGGAGUCUCUGUGAACACAUUACAAUAGCAUUUACUCUUAGUAAGAACACCUCCAUGCAUGUGCUGUAAUUGACAAACAAAAACAGAGAAAUCCUUUCAAUUUAUGAAAAUGCAAUGAGUUAACCUUAUCUCACACUGCAAUAUAUACUCUACAAUAUAUAUAUAUAUAUAUUAGGCGUAGUUUCAUGAAUCCUUUCCAUUAGAUAUUUAAUAAUUUAUAUAUUCUUUUUGGAGAAGUAACUCAUUUUCACACCCUUGUUGUAGUUUUCUAUUUAUUUUCACACCCCAGUUGCCACCUGCUUUUCUUUCCAAUCACGCACACAGAUAGUGCAGAAAAGCACUACGACAAUAGUUGACUCCCAGUCAAUACGGUCUACGCAAAUUGUUUAGUGAAGUCUUAAGUUGUUUGGUGAGGUUACAUGCCAACAAAACUAAUUUGAAUAUUUUUCCCAACCUGGCGAAUUGACCAAGUGCUAAACAAUAAAAUAAAAUAAUAUUCAAAUCAUCUGUAACAUUUACAGACUCUUAUGUAGAUAUCUUAUUGGUUGGGAUUUACAAUUUACACUUUCUAAUUUAUAAAACCAGGAGCAAAUCACAUAUAAUACAGUUCGUCAAAGGUUUCCCUGUCAAAAUGGAGUUCCUGGUGCGUUCUUGGACACAUGCAAGCACAUUGCAAAGGCUCCAGAAUUCACAAUUUCCUGAUGGAAUUUUAGUUUGUAGCAAUCGCCUUCUAUAGUUCGUAAAUAAAAUGACAAAAUUUGAGAGAAUUAGUUUUUCUAGAAAUUUAUAGGAUAUAAUUAAUAACUUGACUUUAAUUUAAAAGGAUUAAUGGAAAUCAUAAAAUUUCAACUAAUAUAUAUAUAUAUAGGAACUGCAUGGCCACAAAAAAAAAAAAAAAAAAAGAGUAAGCAUUUUCAAUAUUUUAGCUAACCAAUGCCGACUUGGAUCAUUGAUGAGUUGUUUAUAUUGGAUGUAAAUAUAUUUCAAACACUUAUCCACAUCCAAAUUAAGUUAAGGGUAUGUUUAUAAAAAUUAAAUUUUUUACGACCCCUCCUUAAUUUUCAAUUGAAAUCUUGAAGGAUAACACAAGAAUUAUAUUAUUAUAAGGUAAAACUAUAGAGAAAGUGAGGAAAAUAUUAGAGCAAAAGACGAUUUUCCAACCCACUAAUCAAUUCCUUGAAAGAGGAAGAUUCUCUAUUUCUUGAAAGGCUAAUUUUGCACUAUUGUUUUCUUGCGGAAUGCAUUCACACUACAUUUAAAAUUUAGGAAACCUAAAUCUAUGAUUUUUUUAAUAAAUUGAUUUUAUAGUUAUUUUUUUAUCAUCCCAUAUAUACCUUAAGUAAACCUUACUUUUAAUUAUUUCGAUAAAUAAAACAUUUAUUUUUAAUUUUAUUAUUAGUUUUUUUCUUGUUUUUUUAUGAUAAUUGAGGAAUAUAUAAUUAAUACCCAAAAAACACCCAAGUUUAAAUCACCAGCCAUUAAAAUUAAUCAAUCGGUGGUUGCAUUCUAACACACUAUAUUAAGAUUUAUUUUUUAUACAAGUUGAAAUUAAAGCACAUAUAUAUAUAUAUAUAUAUAUAUAUAUAUAUAUAUAUAUAUAUAUAUAUAUAUCAUCCCUUCUCAAGCUUGAGGGGAAAUGGUCUAACGGACCCAACUCGUAGGAAAAACGCUUGACAACAAUGGUCUAGUCAACCUUUUAUUCAUGUUUUUUCAUUGAAGACUUUGACUUGGAUCAACUUGUCGGUUAAUUACAUUUAUACAAUUUUUUUUUUACAAUGUUAGUAAAAUCACUUUAAUUAUUGUUUCAAUCUUCCGGUGUGAUUCAUUGCUUGGUGAUUCUAAAGUCGUCUAUUUAAACUUUAGCACAUUAUACAACUAAAUUUAUUCUUUCACUCGGUAUUUAUUAUAUAUUCAAUUUGUUAAUAAUUAGAAAUACAAAAGAGAAAAAGACAACUACAAAUAUAUUUAUAACCAGAAAAGUUAGUGAUUAAUAAAUUAUCUUUGCUAGUUUUGUUAUAAAUUUAAAAUAAAUAUCUUUUUACAAUAUUUUUUAAGUAAAAUUUGUACUUUUAAAAUAAAAAAUAUAUAAAAACAUGUUUUUUAUAUUCCCACUAUUUUGUAUUUUAUAUCAUGGUAAUUAAAUGUUGCCUGAUUAACAUAACACUAAAUCAUAAAAUAAAAAAAAAUUAAUUGUGGAAUGGUAUGGUAGUUGGAUCUAUUGUUAUUUUUUUUAUGUGUGUGAUUAAAUUAAUUAUUUCGAUAAAUGACAAAUGUAUUCGGGGACAAAUAUUGCUAGAGAGGCAUUGGAGCCUUUAAUAUUUUCCAAAGGCAUGGAACACGAUGCCAAGGGAAUGUAAGAUAUUCUCAUCAUUUCGAAGAAAAUUCUAUAUCAUGGAAAUUAAUGCAGAUGGCAGUAUAUAGUCCUAGGGACCAUCUCACAUAGCAAUUUUCUAUUCAUCUUAUUUAUUGAUUGUGUUAUAAAAAGUAGACUUUUUAAAAAGAAAAAGAAGAAGACUUAUUGUCAUGACAAUGACAAGAAGUAUUUUAGAAAUAAUAUCUCAUAUACAGUUUCCUAAAGGUCUGAGGAAUCGAACAAAGAGGGCGAUGAUUGGGCAUCAGUCUUGAAACCACAAUGAUCCAAUGGACGCGAGCCGCUAGUGGAGAAUGAUUCAUGCAUCUCUGGUUUUGUGUGUUUCUCAUGCUCUUUUUCACUGUACAACAGAACUUUUGACUUUUCAGUUUUUCCUCUUACGCUCUUCAAUAAAUGGGAAAGAGGAAACAACACGGAAAGAAAUUCAAUGCUCACACUUUGAAUUUUAAUUUGCAUGUUUCGGGUCAUUGACAGCUAUGCAUUAAAAUUACAGAGUAAAAUCUCAUUUAUCAAGAUGGUCUUAAUCACAGACAUAUCUAGAGAAAACUUGAUGGAUAGAUUAAUGUUAAAUAUGAAUUCUUUAUGGAGCUCAGUCACAGACAUAUCUAGAGAAGAUACAGAGUUAAGGAUAUGUUUAUAAAAAUUAAUUUUUUUAUGACCCUCCUUUUCAAUUGAAAUCUUGAAGGAUAUAACACAAGAAGUAUAUAUCAUUUUCUGACAAUAUUAGUGUAAGGUAAAACUAUAGACAAAGUGAAGAAAAUAUUAGAGCAAAAGACGACAUUUUUCCAGCCCACUAAUUAAUUCCUUCAAAGAGGAAGAUUCUCUAUUUCUUGAAAGGCUAAUUUUGCACUAUUUUUUUUCUUGCGGAACGCAUUCACACUGCAUUUAAAAUUUAGGAAAACUAAAUCUAUGAUUUUUUUUAAUAAAUUGAUCUUAUUGUUAUUUUUUUAUCGUCCCAUAUAUACCUUAAGUAAACCUUACUUUUAAUUAUUUCGAUGAAUAAAACAUUUAUUUUUAAUCUUAUUAUUAGUUUUUUCUUAAUUUUUUAUGAUAAUUGAGGAAUAUAUAUAUUUAUACCGAAAAAACACCCAAGUUUAAAUGACCAGCCAUUAAAAUUAUUUAAUCGGUGGUUGAAUUAUUCUAACACACUACGUUAAGAUUUAUUUUUUAUACAAGUUAAAAUUAAAGCGCAUAUAUAUAUAUAUAUCAUCCCUUCUCAAGCUUGAGGGGAAAUUGUGGAACGGACCCAUCUCUUAGAAAAAACACAGAUAGCAAUAAUAAUGUUUGAUUUUGCCAACACCAUUAAAGUUAAAGCAUGAUUUUCUAAACGUGAUUUCCAUAAAGAUAGAAGGGAGGGCUCUGUAUCCAUCAUCUUGAUGGAAAGUGAGCUGGCCAGCGCUAACCUUUUAUUCAUGUUUUUCCACAAAGACUUUGACUUGGGGUCAACUUUUCGGUUAAUAUUUUUUAUAAUGUUAGAAAAAUCACUUUAAUUAUUCUUUCAAUCUUCCCGUGUGAUUCACUGCUUGGUGAUUCUAAAGUCGCCUAUUCAAACUUUAGCACAUUAUACAACUAAAUUUAUUCUUUCAAUCGGCAUUUAUUAUAUAUUCAAUUCGUUAAUCGUUAGAAAACUUAGUGAUUAAUAAAUUAUCUUUGUCAGAGUUAACUGUUUUUAGAUGAGUCUGGAUCAUUAUUUCUGUUUUAUUUUUAAUUUUUGAACUAUAAAAAUAUAGAUAAAUUUAAAAUAAAUAUCUUUUUACAAUAGUUUUUGAGUGAAAUUGGAGUAAAAUUUAUACUUUUAAAUAAAAAAUAUAUAAAAACAUGUUUUCUAUGUUCCCAUUAUUUUUGUAUUUUAUAUCAUGGUAAUUAAAUGUUGUCUGGUUAACAUAACACUAAAUCAUAAUUAAAAAAAAUAAUUGUGAAAUGGCAUGGUAGUUGGAUCUAUUUUUGUUUUGUGAUUAAAUUAAGUUUUUCGAUAAAUGACACAUGUUCGGGGACAAAUAAAAAAAAUAAUCUUAUUGCUAGAGAGGCAUUGGAGCCUUUAAUAUUUUGCAAAGGCAUGGAACACGAUGCCAAGGGAAUGUAAGAUAGUUGUUGACAGCUGGCGUCAACCAGAAAAUUCUAAAAUAUUCUCAUCAUUUCAAAGAAAAUUCUAUCAAGGAAGUGGUAACUCAUAAUUUCCAAGAAAAUUCUUUAUGUAUUUGGGAGGCCAGCAAAGUCAAAAGGGAGUGGUAACUCAUAAUUUCCAAGAAAAUUCUAUCAAGAAACGAAGAUACUAUCAGAGAAUAACAGGAAAUAAAUUUGUCUCCAUUUAUUUGGUAUCGAACCAUCUUAAUGGUUGUGAGAAAAUCAAGGCACAGUCACAGACAUAUCUAGAGAAGAUACAAAGUUAAGUUGAAACUUGUUAAUUCACCUUAAAAAGAUACUGAGCACACAAGUUUAUUUUCAAUUUAGGUUUUGCUAUAAAUUUAAAAGAAAAGGGAGUGUUUGACGUGCUAAGAAAUUCAAUGCUCACACUUUGAAUUUUAAUUUGCUUGUUUCGGGUCAUUGACAGCUAUAUAUAUAUAUAUAUUUGAAGUUUUUGUAUAUAAUACUGUAGCCACACAAUCCGUAGGGUUAAGAUUUAUAAUUAUUCCGAGUUUAUUAUUAUUGAUAAUUUAUGCAUUUAAUUAUAUAUGUGAUAGUGAUGACACCAUGCAAAUACUCCUAAAUGAUUUUAAAUUGUGACGAGAGAACUACAAUUAUUAAAGUAAAAAAGAUCAUACGCAGAAUCACAUGGAGUACUGUAACAAUAUUAAAUUUUUUUUUUUUUAUAAAUUGGAUAAUUAGUAACCCUAAAUAAUAUUCAAAUCUAGAAUAUUCUAAAAAAACAUUAAAUAAUAUUCAAAUCUCAAAACAUGAAACUCUAAGUUAUGACGGGAGAAGUACAAUUAUAAAGUAAAAAAGAUUUUACACGGAAUCACACACGAAUGUCGGUAACAAUGCUGAAGUACUACUACAAUUUUUUUUUAUUAUAUUUUAUUUAUAUAAAUUGGAUAAUUAGUAACCAAAAUAUGAUUUAAUGUAAAUAGACUAAGUGCUAAACAAUAAAUUAAAAUAAUAUUCAAAUCCUAGAAUAUUCCAAAAAAAAAAAUAUAUUCAAAUAUCAAAACAUGAAACCCUAAAUUAUGACGAGAGAAGUACAACUAUAAAGUAAAAAAAAAUUAACACGGAAUCACACAUGAAUGUCGAUAACAAUGCUGAAGUACUACCACAAUUAUUUUAUUUUAUUUUAUUUAUAUAAAUUGGAUAAUUAAUAACCAAAAUAUAAUUUAAUGCAAAUAGACUAAGUGAUAAACAAUAGAUUAAUAUUCCAAAAAAAAUAAAAUAAUAUUCAAAUCUCCAAACAUGUAACCUGCACAAGAUAUGCAGAUAAAGUCAAGGAAAUUAAAUGGCCAAAGAGUAGUAUAAAUAGGACCUCUAUGGUUGCCCAAAGGCACAUAACAAACAACAAUAUUCUACAAUUCAUAGAAUUAUCUAAGAUGAUGAUGAAAAGAAUUGGGGCUUGGAUGUUGCUAGCGUUUUUGGCUUUGGUUGGCGAAUGGCAUGGUCGUUGUUAUGGGUGUGUGGAGGAAGAGAGGGUUGGUCUCUUGGAGAUCAAAGCUUUGAUCGACCCACAUGGCUAUGACUUUUCCUUGAGAGAUUGGGUGGACAGUAGUAAUUGUUGUGAGUGGGAUGGGAUCGAGUGUGAUCCGACUACAAGACGAGUGAUCCAACUCUCUCUUAGUGGAGAAAGAGAUUAC
Molecule: long non-coding RNA, 34285 nt
Filed under: Populus tremula
Lineage: Eukaryota; Viridiplantae; Streptophyta; Magnoliopsida; Malpighiales; Salicaceae
Description: long non-coding RNA (PTRE_LNC002051)
Source: RNAcentral